ACUGGAAGCUGAAUGGACCUCCAGUGCAGGCAAUUGAAAUGUCUUUUGCCUGUUUUUCCAGGCUUCCUAGAGUAAAAGUGAAGGUCUCUGUCUGGUUUAGAACAGUCAACUGAUCCAGAUCGUUCCCCUUUGCACAUU
Non-coding RNA from Podarcis muralis (Common wall lizard), 138 nucleotides. Ensembl annotates it as small Cajal body-specific RNA 3. The record is from Ensembl. NCBI's taxonomy places the organism in Eukaryota, Metazoa, Chordata, Lepidosauria, Squamata, Lacertidae.